GAUGAACGCUGGCGGCGUGCCUAAUACAUGCAAGUCGAGCGAACGGACGAGAAGCUUGCUUCUCAGAUGUUAGCGGCGGACGGGUGAGUAACACGUGGAUAACCUACCUAUAAGACUGGGAUAACUUCGGGAAACCGGAGCUAAUACCGGAUAAUAUUUUGAACCGCAUGGUUCAAAAGUGAAAGACGGUCUUGCUGUCACUUAUAGAUGGAUCCGCGCUGCAUUAGCUAGUUGGUAAGGUAACGGCUUACCAAGGCAACGAUGCAUAGCCGACCUGAGAGGGUGAUCGGCCACACUGGAACUGAGACACGGUCCAGACUCCUACGGGAGGCAGCAGUAGGGAAUCUUCCGCAAUGGGCGAAAGCCUGACGGAGCAACGCCGCGUGAGUGAUAAAGGUCUUCGGAUCGUAAAACUCUGUUAUUAGGGAAGAACAUAUGUGUAAGUAACUGUGCACAUCUUGACGGUACCUAAUCAGAAAGCCACGGCUAACUACGUG
RNAcentral lists this ribosomal RNA (497 nucleotides) under uncultured bacterium. RNAcentral describes it as "partial 16S ribosomal RNA". It matches the Rfam family "Bacterial small subunit ribosomal RNA", at positions 28 to 507 of the family's 1533-position model. The record is from RNAcentral.